UGGGGAAUAUUGCACAAUGGGCGCAAGCCUGAUGCAGCCAUGCCGCGUGUAUGAAGAAGGCCUUCGGGUUGUAAAGUACUUUCAGCGGGGAGGAAGGGAGUAAAGUUAAUACCUUUGCUCAUUGACGUUACCCGCAGAAGAAGCACCGGCUAACUCCGUGCCAGCAGCCGCGGUAAUACGGAGGGUGCAAGCGUUAAUCGGAAUUACUGGGCGUAAAGCGCACGCAGGCGGUUUGUUAAGUCAGAUGUGAAAUCCUCGGGCUCAACCUGGGAACUGCAUCUGAUACUGGCAAGCUUGAGUCUCGUAGAGGGGGGUAGAAUUCCAGGUGUAGCGGUGAAAUGCGUAGAGAUCUGGAGGAAUACCGGUGGCGAAGGCGGCCCCCUGGACGAAGACUGACGCUCAGGUGCGAGAGCGUGGGGAGCAAACAGG
RNAcentral lists this ribosomal RNA (429 nucleotides) under Chloroflexota bacterium. RNAcentral describes it as "Chloroflexi bacterium partial 16S ribosomal RNA". It matches the Rfam family "Bacterial small subunit ribosomal RNA", at positions 355 to 776 of the family's 1533-position model. Lineage: Bacteria; Bacillati; Chloroflexota. The record is from RNAcentral.